GACGAACGCUGGCGGCGUGCUUAACACAUGCAGGUCGAACGAAGAGCGAUGGAAGCUUGCUUCUAUCAAUCUUAGUGGCGAACGGGUGAGUAACGCGUAAUCAACCUGCCCUUCAGAGGGGGACAACAGUUGGAAACGACUGCUAAUACCGCAUACGAUCUAAUCUCGGCAUCGAGGAUAGAUGAAAGGUGGCCUCUACAUGUAAGCUAUCACUGAAGGAGGGGAUUGCGUCUGAUUAGCUAGUUGGAGGGGUAACGGCCCACCAAGGCGAUGAUCAGUAGCCGGUCUGAGAGGAUGAACGGCCACAUUGGGACUGAGACACGGCCCAGACUCCUACGGGAGGCAGCAGUGGGGAAUCUUCCGCAAUGGACGAAAGUCUGACGGAGCAACGCCGCGUGAGUGAUGACGGCCUUCGGGUUGUAAAGCGCUGUUAAUCGGGACGAAAGGCCUUCUUGCGAAUAGUGAGAAGGAUUGACGGUACCGGAAUAGAAAGCCACGGCUAACUACGUGC
This 511-nucleotide ribosomal RNA is filed under the name uncultured bacterium. Its description in RNAcentral is "partial 16S ribosomal RNA". It matches the Rfam family "Bacterial small subunit ribosomal RNA", at positions 28 to 508 of the family's 1533-position model. The record is from RNAcentral.